GACGAACGCUGGCGGCGUGCCUAAUACAUGCAAGUCGAACGCACUCUCGUUUAGAUUGAAGGAGCUUGCUCCUGAUUGAUAAACAUUUGAGUGAGUGGCGGACGGGUGAGUAACACGUGGGUAACCUGCCCUAAAGUGGGGGAUAACAUUUGGAAACAGAUGCUAAUACCGCAUAAAACCCAACACCGCAUGGUGUAGGGUUGAAAGAUGGUUUCGGCUAUCACUUUAGGAUGGACCCGCGGUGCAUUAGUUAGUUGGUGAGGUAAAGGCUCACCAAGACCGUGAUGCAUAGCCGACCUGAGAGGGUAAUUGGCCACACUGGGACUGAGACACGGCCCAGACUCCCUACGGGAGGCAGCAGUAGGGAAUCUCCCACAAUGGACGAAAGUCUGAUGGAGCAACGCCGCGUGAGUGAAGAAGGUUUUCGGAUCGUAAAACUCUGUUGUUGGAGAAGAAUGUAUCUGAUAGUAACUGAUCAGGUAGUGACGGUAUCCAACCAGAAAGCCAA
Molecule: ribosomal RNA, 508 nt
Filed under: uncultured bacterium
Lineage: Bacteria
Description: bacterial SSU rRNA
Rfam family: Bacterial small subunit ribosomal RNA
Source: RNAcentral